RNAcentral lists this ribosomal RNA (372 nucleotides) under uncultured bacterium. RNAcentral's name for it is "bacterial SSU rRNA". It matches the Rfam family "Bacterial small subunit ribosomal RNA", at positions 524 to 898 of the family's 1533-position model. The record is from RNAcentral.
UACGUAGGUGGCAAGCGUUGUCCGGAUUUAUUGGGUUUAAAGGGUGCGUAGGCGGCUUUGUAAGUCAGUGGUGAAAUAUGGCAGCUCAACUGUCAGGGUGCCAUUGAUACUGCGGAGCUUGAGUACAGAUGAGGUAGGCGGAAUUGACGGUGUAGCGGUGAAAUGCUUAGAUAUCGUCAAGAACACCGAUAGCGAAGGCAGCUUACUGGGCUGUAACUGACGCUGAGGCACGAAAGUGUGGGGAUCAAACAGGAUUAGAUACCCUGGUAGUCCACACUGUAAACGUUGAUGACUCGCUGUUGGCGAUACACAGCCAGCGGCAGAGAGAAAUCGUUAAGUCAUCCACCUGGGGAGUACGCCGGCAACGGUGAA